This is a long non-coding RNA of Corticium candelabrum, 1588 nucleotides long. RefSeq lists it as uncharacterized. The record is from RefSeq and is a predicted model, not a curated record. NCBI's taxonomy places the organism in Eukaryota, Metazoa, Porifera, Homoscleromorpha, Homosclerophorida, Plakinidae. The transcript has 3 exons.
AAACAGACAUGUCAGAUUAGAACUAAAUCAGACGACAGCACGUGUGCUAACAAACUCGGCCGAAAACCGCCAGUCAAGAGAAUUUGCGAACCAUUUCCUCGAUGUAGAUACAAAGUUUCUGAAUGGAGCGCCUGCUCGGUCUCGUUCGAUGCCGGUGUCAGAACGCGUAAUCAUACCUGCGUCAAACUAGAAGAAAACGCUAUGGAAAAGGAAAUUAGUUUGGACCACUGUGUUCGCAGCGUACUGUUGUCUCGGCCGUGGUUAAAUGAGAAUUGCUAUCUUAGAAAUUGUCCGUGCGAACUGCCACACUGGAUACCGUCAAAGUAGAGAAGUUGCCCUCGUAGUUGGGGAGUUGGUGCAGUACAAAUACGAGAUGUCGUGUGUUCGUGCACUCUACAAGGUCGGCAGCGAAUUGUUCCAGAAAGCGUUUGCCUAACAGUUGCCAACAAACCAGUUCCUAGACGGGCUUGUGGUCAGACACAGUGUCCUUGCAAAAGAUAUCCCCGGCAGAAGGAAGACUGGAAAGGUUGUUCGGUAUCUUGCAGAACGGGAAUAGAAUAACGAAAAGUCACAUGCGAGUGUACACGAGCGGGAAGUAUAGAGAUAAGCCCAGAUCCGCAAAGGUGCUAUCUUUAUCCACAACCGUGGAGUCAAAGAGAAUGCUACAAGCCGCCGAGUCCUUGCAGCAAGCCACAAUGGGACACCGGUAACUGGUCCGAAUGUUCUGCGACCUGCAAAGGAACAAGCACGAGACGGGUAACGUGCAACUGCGGUGUAGAGAGAGUAGACAUUGGCGUUUGUGUAAGACAAGUGACAGACCAACGGCAGCCAUCGCGACAGCAGACGUGCAGCGGACAGUGUUUGUGCGAAAACUACAGAUACCGAGAAAAAGAUUGGUUGCCGUGCUCCCAUACGUGUGGUAAUGGAACUCAAUCGCGAACUCUGUCGUGCCAUUGCUACCUAGAGGGUCGACAAAUGGUCAGACCAUUGAGAGAGUGCGAAGCAACGAUAACACAGACUGCACCAAUAGUAAUGCGUUCCUGUGACUGGCAAGAAUGUCCGUGCGACUUAGCACGAUACAUAACGGGUCCUUGGUCAUCCUGUCCCCAAAUCUGCGGCGGAAACCAAUACAGAAACGUUGCAUGUACCUGUUUUAUAGAAGGCGCAUGGGCGAACAGAUCAGACGACGAAUGCUACUUUACAGGAAUGAUAAGACAACAAACAUCAAAGAAUGCACCCGUGUCAGUACCGUUGGUCAACAACACCUUGGAAAGAGUGUUUAGCAACCUGUAGUCGUCGUUGCACCGCAUACUAAACAGACCAAUAUGGGAACAAAGCCAAGAACUCUCGCUGCAAUAAAUUUACUUGAUAUGAGAAACCUGCCACUUCAGAGAGAUGUCUUUACAACGGGACAAAGGAAAAGGUGGUGUGGACCGUUUCGGGUUGGUCUAGGUGUUCUAAGGCAUGCCAAGGCGGCACGAAACGGCGUGCAGUCACUUGCAUAAACCCAUGCAAACGGAUAAAAGCAAUGGGCUGUAAUACAAGAACGAGACCGCGACAUCUCAAAGUAUGCAACACUUUCCUAUGU